Molecule: transfer RNA, 76 nt
Filed under: Clostridium tyrobutyricum
Lineage: Bacteria; Bacillati; Bacillota; Clostridia; Eubacteriales; Clostridiaceae
Also listed under: 1 other name
Description: tRNA-Thr
Rfam family: tRNA
About the family: Transfer RNA (tRNA) molecules are approximately 80 nucleotides in length.
Source: RNAcentral
GCUGGCAUAGCUCAGCUGGUAGAGCAACUGACUUGUAAUCAGUAGGUCGUGGGUUCGAUGCCUACUGUCAGCACCA